GAUGAACGCUAGCGACAGGCCUAACACAUGCAAGUCGAGGGGCAUCGGGGCGUAGCAAUACGCUGCCGGCGACCGGCGGAUGGGUGAGUAACGCGUAUGCAACCUGCCUUCAGCAGGGGGAUAGCCCGUUGAAAGACGGAUUAAUACCCCGUAACACAGGGGCUCCGCAUGGAGAUUAUUGUUAAAGGGAUACUUCCUUCGGGGGGUAUUCCGGCUGAAGAUGGGCAUGCGUUCCAUUAGGUAGUUGGUUGAGGUAACGGCUCACCAAGCCUACGAUGGAUAGGGGAACUGAGAGGUUGGUCCCCCACACUGGUACUGAGACACGGACCAGACUCCUACGGGAGGCAGCAGUAGGGAAUCUUGCGCAAUGGGCGAAAGCCUGACGCAGCGACGCCGCGUGAGGGAAGAAGGGCCUUCGGGUCGUAAACCUCUGUCCUUGGGGACGAUGAUGACGGUACCCAAGGAGGAAGCCCCGGCUAACUACGUG
RNAcentral lists this ribosomal RNA (487 nucleotides) under uncultured bacterium. Its description in RNAcentral is "bacterial SSU rRNA". It matches the Rfam family "Bacterial small subunit ribosomal RNA", at positions 28 to 507 of the family's 1533-position model. The record is from RNAcentral.